AAGGGUAUAGCUCAAAGUGGUAGCGCGCAUGCUUAGCAUGCAUGAGGUCCUGGGUUCAAUCCCCAGUACCUCCU
RNAcentral lists this transfer RNA (74 nucleotides) under Camelus bactrianus (Bactrian camel). It matches the Rfam family "tRNA". Rfam says of the family: Transfer RNA (tRNA) molecules are approximately 80 nucleotides in length. Their secondary structure includes four short double-helical elements and three loops (D, anti-codon, and T loops). RNAcentral also lists the same sequence under 2 other names. The record is from Rfam by way of RNAcentral. Lineage: Eukaryota; Metazoa; Chordata; Mammalia; Artiodactyla; Camelidae.